Molecule: long non-coding RNA, 3729 nt
Organism: Aphis gossypii (cotton aphid)
Lineage: Eukaryota; Metazoa; Arthropoda; Insecta; Hemiptera; Aphididae
Exons: 4
Source: RefSeq, a predicted model, not a curated record
UUGGAAAUUUUAAUAAUCUAAAAUGCAUAGUUUUAAUUUAAAAUAAAAUACAACAUAUUAUUUAUUAUAAUAACAAUGAUAAUAGUAAUAUGUUUAAAAACUCGCCUGUUUCAUUAUCAAAUAAGGUAUACACGAUAUUCGGAUUUCGGUUGUUGCUUAAAUUCAAUACUUGCAACUUGUGUAGUGUCGACAACAUAUAGAAUGUUCUGGGACAUGACAGGUUAUUGUCGCUCAAGUCUAGUAGUAUAAGUGACAAGAGCCUAACCUAACCAAGGUCAUCCGUGUUUCAUAUCGUCAUUCGUCGGUGAAACUGCGUCUGGCGCCGUCUGCAAUACGUCCUCGACACGAACUAAGAUAUAAUGGACUGGCAUCGAGUGCAAUAUCUGAGACACAUAAAUGUAUUUAUAAAAUCAAUGGAGAUACGAUGUAUUAUGACACGCUGACACGGAGAUACGAGAUAUUAGUAUUAAAAAUUUUGAUUGGUGAUUUACAAUGAUUGGUUGUACAUUUAGAAUAUCUUUAGAAAUUUGAUAUACGAGAUAUUUACACCAUAGACCUUAUACUAAUAGCACGAUUUAAGAUAUCUUAAAUCGUGAUCGUGACUGGUGUAUGAACAAAUAGGACCCGGGUCAUCGAGAUCCCAACCAUAUUAUGGUAACAACAUGGAUCUAGCUGUCUUGGGAUCUUGGGAUCUCUUGAUCAAAAUUUCUCACUAGUUAACUGGUAUCAGCCAUCAGGCUAGGUUAUGGAGUGGGCAAAUAAUAAUGUAUUUUAUCAUAUUAUUAUCAUCAUUCAUAAAUUUAAAAUUUAUAAUUUAAUAAUAAAUAGUAACUGCUUUAAUUAGCUUAAUUCUUUACUAUUAAAAUAUUAAAUUAUCUUGAAUUUAAUUUUACCAUUGUAAACCACCUUUAAAAAGGUGCUUACAAUCCGCCUCUGUUCUUGUUUUCUUAACCUAACCUGACAGCGGAUACCCAUGCUUCUGUUUGCAUCAGAUUAAUCCGUGGUACAAUAACAGACAUAAUAAAUAACAGAAAAAAAUACAUUGAUACCACACUACCAGCGAUCUGCAAAGUGGACAAACUAAUCUGUCUAAACCUUCAAAGCAUUCACCACACUAACAGACGUGGUUGCAUGGUCUCAAUACGAUGUUGGACCCAGUACUCAUGCAUGUCACGCACACCACUCUCUCAUGUUUUCAACUGAAAAAUAAUUAUAAUAUAUAUUAUUUAUGCAUAACAAGUAUUUAUUAAUAUUAUUUAUUUGUAUUAAUGGCCAAAUUGAAUCAGAGAUAUUGGCUUAUAAGCUAUGUUUACAUUAUAUCAUAUUAUGGCAAAGUGUUCUUCACAUGAUAAUUUAUGUAGUUAUUAUUAUUCAUCAAUAAUGUUUGUAUAAUACUUCUACAAUUUGCCUGGCAUAAGACUAAAGCUUAAGUAUAAUUUAUAACUAAUAUUUUAAAAAUUAGUAAUUACAAACACAGAGAGAAAAUAUGCACAAUUUUUGAAAUGACUAGAGGCAAUUUAGUCUAUCAAUCUAACACUCAUUAAUUAUAAGUAAAUAUAUACUUUUUAAAUAUUGAAUAUUUAUCAGAAUUUUCAAUAGUAUUAUAGUGGGUAAAAUUGUAGAUGACCUGCAUAACAUUGUACAUUUAUAUUAUUAAAAUAUAAUAUAUACCUUCAUCAUUUGAUCUUCUAAUUUCUAUGUGAGGAAAAUUAUUUAUUUCAUUUAUAAUUUGUCGCUGUGGUUGAAAUUCAAAAGUUGGCCAAACCAACGGUUCUAGAAUAAAAUAUAUUAUUUUAUCAUUCUUAUAUUAUGAAAAAAAUUUUUUGUUUAAAUAUUAUGUCCAUGUAUGGUACAAUUUAACUAUGAAGUUCUAAAACAUGAAAAUUACAUAAGGUUUUCAAAUUGCCCAUUGAUAACUAAUCAUUUUACACUUAACCCAAUACCUAAUACCUUAACCUAACCUAACCUAACCUUUUCGAUCUGCAGAACCUUUUUGGAACUUAGCUUUGCUCAUGGCGUCAAUGAUAAAAUCUAUGAACCUUUUUUUUCUAUGGUCAAAAUAUCCAAUAGUGGUGUUACAUUUUUUUUUUUUGAUAAUUAAAAUAAUGAUACUUCAUCAAAAUUACUGUUAUCUUAACCGUUAAUUAUUGUCAUAAUUUAUUUUUUGAACCAGAUAAUAGUCGGCAGCGUGGAGCGAACACGGCGCCCUUGGAAAGGCACCGCGGCACAGUGCAUACCGUUUGGGAACCGCUGACUUAACCUAUCACUACUCGGUAUACUAACCUUCAUCAUAAUGUUCCUGCACUUGACGCAAAUCAUCAUUAUUUAAAUUUACUUGAUCAAAAUCAUCUUCAGGCAUUGCAUUCUGUUCUGCAUAAAUUGGUAGUGGUUCUAACUCCAAGUUGUAAUGCCUCAGCACUCCCUGGAAGAAUGCUGGCGGUGACUCAUAUCCAAUUAUCACGCGAUUACUUGGCUCUAGAAUAAAAAAUUUAUUUAUCUUAAAACAAAAAGUAAUACAAAAAAGGCCAUCAUUACCAAUGUUUUCUAAAAUAUUUUCUUCGGAUUCAUCAUCAUAUCCUAAAACCUGUUCUGGUAACUCUAAAAUAUUAAAAAUUAUUUAAUAAUUUGUUAUAAACAUUUACAUUUUAUAAAAAAAACCAUGAUUACCAGUAUUUUGGUUAUUAGUUUCGACUGGUUCAACAUCGAAUCCUACAUCCUGUUGUAAUUCUAAAAUAUUAAAAAUUAUUUAAUAAUUUGUUAUAAACAUUUACAUUUUAUUAAAAAUAAAAAGCCAUGAUUACCAAUAUUUUGGUUAUUAGUUUCGACUGGUUCAACAUCGAAUCCUACAUCCUGUUGUAACUCUAAAAUAUUAAAAAUUAUUUAACAAUAUGUUAUAAAAAUUUAUAUUUUAACUAAUAAUACUAAUAGAAAUGUAAUACAACUAUUAGAAUUUUUACCUUCAUUUUGUGGUCGUUGUAUUCCGAAAUUUGGCGUUAUAUGUUUAGUGUAACCCAAAAAUUCUGCCACAGUAAACCGGUUUUGGUCAAGUUUUGUUAGGCCCAACGUUAUUUUUUUAUCUUGUACAUUGCUUGCACGUGGUCUAUGUUGCCUGACUUCUAGGCCAUUUACUGCCAACCGGUAAUCAUUCAUUAUCCUAUGAGUGUGAGUAAUAAGGUUUUCUAAUAUAAAAAAAAUAUCGAAGAACUAGUAUGUUUUUUUAAAUGAAAAUAAAAAUUAUAUAUUAUUAAAAAUUUAUUGAUUGUUUAUUAAAAUCAACUUUAUUCAUUCUUUACCUAAAAAUAACCAUGGACUUGGAUUAGGAUUUUGAAUGUGGCUCAUGAGAUUUCUGUGACUAAUUUCCAAAACAUUAUUCGUUCGUCUGUUUUGACGGCUUACUGACAGCAUCUCAGAAAAAAUACCUGUACAAAUUAUAGUAGUUAAAUAAUUGUGGCUUGCCACAGUGUAACUAUAAAAUAUAUUAUAAUAUAUUUUUUUAACCAAUUAUUACCAAAGAGUUUUGUUACCAGGAUUUAUUUUAGUGGGGUGGGCAAUGAACACUUUUUUGACAUCAAUAACUAGUGACAGCUUUAAGCCAAAUCUUUAUCAGAAUUUUGAUAUACUUAUAUAAAUGAGAUACUAUUACAAUUUCCAGGGGGUGCUUUCUUCAUACUAUUUCUGUUAUUUUCAAAAGCUAGUUUGAUAAAUCUGAAUGUCCAAUUAUUUGAAACA